CUGCGGGCGGCCGUGACCCUGCUGGAGCCCGGGGGCACCUCCAGCCCCCCGGGGGCUCCCUGCGCCUCCUCUGCCGAGCAUCCGGGUUCGAUUUUGGGAAUUUUGCCAUGCAAUGGAUCCGCCAGAGGCCCGGACAGGGGCUGGAGUGGCUCGCAGGGAUCUGCAGCGGUGGCAGCACCUACUACGCGCCCUCAGUCAAGGGCCGUUUCACGAUCUCCAGGGACAACGGGCAGAGCUCGGUGACGCUGACCAUGAACAGCCUCAAGGACGAGGAUUCCGCCGUCUAUUUCUGUGCCAAGGCUGCUGACAAUAGUUGCAGUUAUGCUGGUGCUUAUCGCUUUGACCCCGUCCCCAUCCCCGUGUGUCACCAUCCGCCCUCACGGAGGGGUUUCCUGA
Molecule: non-coding RNA, 396 nt
Organism: Agelaius phoeniceus (red-winged blackbird)
Lineage: Eukaryota; Metazoa; Chordata; Aves; Passeriformes; Icteridae
Source: the annotation of a RefSeq genome assembly